CGUAGGGCGAGCGUUGUCCGGAAUUAUUGGGCGUAAAGGGCGCGCAGGCGGUCUCUUAAGUCUGAUGUGAAAGGCCACGGCUCAACCGUGGGAUGGCAUUGGAAACUGGGGACUUGAGUGCAGGAGAGGGAGCGGAAUUCCCGGUGUAGCGGUGAAAUGCGUAGAGAUCGGGAGGAACACCAGUGGCGAAGGCGGCUCUCUGGCCUGUAACUGACGCUGAGGCGCGAAAGCGUGGGGAGCGAACAGGAUU
RNAcentral lists this ribosomal RNA (250 nucleotides) under uncultured bacterium. RNAcentral describes it as "partial 16S ribosomal RNA". It matches the Rfam family "Bacterial small subunit ribosomal RNA", at positions 528 to 779 of the family's 1533-position model. The record is from RNAcentral.